UAAAAUGACAUGCAUAGCACAAUUAUUUAAAUUGACACACAGAGAGCAAAACUUCUUCUCAAGUCUUCAAAAGUCUAAACACAUUUUCUGCUUUACACACAUUUUGCAAUUCAAAAUGGCACUUUUUAAAUGCACUGAACACGAUUCUCUGCAUAAGACACAACAAUCUGACAUAAAGUCACAUGUUCGCCAUUUCAAAACACUGCCAUUCAAAAUGACACUACAUGAGCUAAUUGGCCAAUAUAUGUGUCACCUGGCCAAACACUUCAAUGGUUAAUUGUUACCACUUCAAUCAGGAAGUAAGCACUAUGAAAACACCACAUGGAUGC
Long non-coding RNA from Sander lucioperca (pikeperch), 329 nucleotides. RefSeq lists it as uncharacterized. The transcript is spliced from 3 exons. Lineage: Eukaryota; Metazoa; Chordata; Actinopteri; Perciformes; Percidae. The record is from RefSeq and is a predicted model, not a curated record.